AAGAGUGUUGUAUUAACACUGCUAACGUUAUCUCCUAGGAAUUAACUGCCCUAGCACUCUUA
This 62-nucleotide transfer RNA is filed under the name Cnemidophorus vanzoi. RNAcentral's name for it is "tRNA-Ser". Lineage: Eukaryota; Metazoa; Chordata; Lepidosauria; Squamata; Teiidae. The record is from RNAcentral.